UACGGAGGGUGCAAGCGUUAUCCGGAUUUACUGGGUUUAAAGGGUGCGUAGGUGGAUUGGUAAGUCAGUGGUGAAAUACUACAGCGCAACUGUGGAACUGCCAUUGAUACUAUCAGUCUUGAAUACCGUGGAGGUCAGCGGAAUAUGUCAUGUAGCGGUGAAAUGCUUAGAUAUGACAUAGAACACCAAUUGCGAAGGCAGCUGGCUACACGAAUAUUGACACUGAGGCACGAAAGCGUGGGGAUCAAACAGG
Molecule: ribosomal RNA, 253 nt
Filed under: uncultured bacterium
Lineage: Bacteria
Description: partial 16S ribosomal RNA
Rfam family: Bacterial small subunit ribosomal RNA
Source: RNAcentral